This is a long non-coding RNA of Nerophis ophidion (straightnose pipefish), 2022 nucleotides long. RefSeq lists it as uncharacterized. The record is from RefSeq and is a predicted model, not a curated record. Lineage: Eukaryota; Metazoa; Chordata; Actinopteri; Syngnathiformes; Syngnathidae. The transcript is spliced from 6 exons.
UACGGAGUCUCUAGAAAUAAAAUGUGUUUCUCUGCGUCCGCCCUGUUAGUGAUUUUUUUCUUGAAUAUGAGCUCGCAGCAGCCAGCGUCAUCUCACAAGAUCCUCGGGUGCCGAGAAUGUCAAACAACUGACGAAAGUGAAGUCUUGGUAUGAUUGAUGAUUGCUCAUUUUUAUGUCUAUUUUUUAAUGCCUGGCUUGAGAUCGACUGACACGCCCUCCGAGAUCGACCAGUCGAUCGCGAUCGACGUAAUGAGCACUCCUGAUGUAAACAAACUGUUGUGUCACAGUCCACACUAUGUUUUACAGCGCUGGAAUCUUGACAACCUGUUAUCAUCUGGCUGCUAAACUUGCAGAAGAGGCAUUAAGAGAAGAGUUGCCUGGACAGAGGAUGGAAAAGGAGCCAUAAUUGUACUCAAGUGCACCAUAGACCAUUGCACAUCUGGCUGCCAGUAAGACAGAGCACAUUUGAGAGGGUCGCCUGAGCGGCAGCGAUCAAAGAGAAAGAUGGAGGUUAACUGACCAGACCUGAGAACCUCCACAGAAGGACCUGAGGGACUCGUCUCUGUUAGCCCAGUACCCACACCCUCCCCACAAAAGAGUUUUACGCCAACACCGACUUCAGUUCUGUCACAAAGACAUUCCUCGCUAUAAUACGGAAGUCCUAAAAAGAAUCUGGCAGAUACUUUCCCUAAUAUCAAUGGGUAGAUAACAGACUGAGCUUGGGAUGCCCCCUUUUCCAUCGCCAAACUUGAUAUGCCACCUCGUCUUGAUGUGACAUCAUCUACAGACCUAAAGCCCAUUUCUCUGCAUAGACAGUGUGGAUAAAACCUCAACAAUUAUUUAAAACCAUAUAUGUAUUAUAAUUACAUUGUACGUUACUAUCACUUAAUUGCAUGUUAAUUGCAUUGGUCCAUGAUUACUUCAAAACUGAUGUGGUUAAAAUUAUGAGCAAUAAAUAGAUAUAAAAUAAUCUGGAAAUAUAAUGUGGUAUUGAACUUUACACAAGUUUGGACAAACAAGAUUUUGCAUUCAAAUUCUCCAGACAGAGAAGCUGUAGAAGGCCAAUUAGCCCCCAUUUGCAGAAUUGAACUGUAUUGUUUCAAGCCUCAGGCCGAGGAGGAGUGGACCAAUCCUGAUCGGGCCUUUCAUUUCCUCAAGCAAUUUGAAGAAAACCUCAGUAGAAAAGGACGCAAAAUAGAACUUUAAUGGCUUACCUUCUUUUAUUCUCGUUUUUGAGCACUGGUCUCUCUCUCCUCGCAGGUGCUCCUAAUUUUCAGAUUACAUCUGGCUUAAGUUUUAAUUUGUUUCUAUCCAAACUACGACCAUAAACCAUCGUCUUCUAAGUCACAAUCAACAAAAUGAUUGCUGCAAACUACAUUUCUCUUGCUUAGUUUGUCACAUUUAAUGCGAGUCAAUCUGACUGGAGAGGUCGAUAGUUUUCACAUAUUUCCAUCAUUUAGAAAUGCAUGCGGGCUGACCUAUCAUUUAGUUGUAUUGCUACAACUUGUUGCAAUGCAUCUGGCAGACAUAUUUCAUCACUCCUUCAAAUUCUGUAAGAAAAUAACAUAACUUGGAAUGAAGACGCGCCCAAAACACGUACUACGCAAUAUAAAAUUGCUUCCAGUCCUCUGUAAGUGACAUCAGCAGGCUGAUGUAGGCUCGGACACAUGGAGCUAAAAGUGGGCCUUCCAAAAUGCGCUCAAGUUCGUCAGAAAACAAGCCUAAAAUCAUUAUGUUUUUGAGUGCCAGGUCAGUUAAUUUUUUCCCAGUUUCUCUUCGGUUUUGUCCGGUUCUGACUCAGUCUUUUUCCCCUCCAAGGUGCUCCUAAUUGUCCUAAUGUGGGGAUUUUACCUGUAGAAAUUUCUUUUAAUACCAGAACUAUGAAAUAAGUGCUUAUGUUGUCAGCAUUAGAGGGGUCAUUUAAGAGGAUAAAAUAAUAAAGAAACUAAUUCACUUUGAGUAAAAAUGUUGUUCUCAAAUACUUCUUAAUCGUUUUAGGUUAUUUUUCUAAUAAAAUCUGAA